RNAcentral lists this unclassified non-coding RNA (356 nucleotides) under soil metagenome. RNAcentral's name for it is "partial contains 5.8S ribosomal RNA, internal transcribed spacer 2, and large subunit ribosomal RNA". The stretch from base 1 to 120 matches the Rfam family "5.8S ribosomal RNA", at positions 35 to 154 of the family's 154-position model. The record is from RNAcentral.
GAUGAAGAAGGCAGCGAAAUGCGAUAAGUAAUGUGAAUUGCAGAAUUCAGUGAAUCAUCGAAUCUUUGAACGCACAUUGCGCCCGCUGGUAUUCCGGCGGGCAUGCCUGUUCGAGCGUCAUUUCAACCCUCAAGCUCUCCGGAGUUUGGUGUUGGGGCGCCUGGGGCUUUUCGACCUCAGGGCCCUCAAGUCCAUCGGCGGGACCGCCAGGACACUGAGCGCAGUAGUAUUAUUUCGCUCGGUAGGAUCUUCCACGGCGGGUCGAUCUGGCCGCUAAACCCCCCAAUUCUCACCAAAGGUUGACCUCGGAUCAGGUAGGAAUACCCGCUGAACUUAAGCAUAUCAUAAGCGGAGGA